AAACUUCUAUAAAUAUUUUAAUGUAUUUUAUUCUUUUGUCUUUUACAAUCUUUACAUUAUCCUAAUAUGUUAUUUCAAUUAAGUAUUGAAAUAUAACUUCUUCAUGUGGAUGUAUAACUUGGGCUGUAAGAAGAAUCUGAACUUUUUAGAAGAAACCUUCUACAAAUGUUAUUUUAUUUCACCAACUGUUAAAACCAUUAAUAUCAGCAAAGAUCAACUUUUAGAAUCUCAACUGCUCUUCAAGAAAGAUGGCCAAUGGGAGCACCAAUAGCCUCUGUUUAGGGGACAGGGGGAACAAUUCGCCUAACUGGUAACUUAGUGCUCGCUGUGGGAGGGAGUUAAGGGAAGAGAUUUUACUUUCUGCUUUAUAUACUUCUGCAUUGUUGUACUUUUUUAUACCAAGCAUGAAUUACUUUUAUAAUCAAAAAUAAAAUUUACAUUUCUCAAAUGAGAACUCCUGACCAUCAGCAUUCCACUUUCUUAGUUAAAAUAUACAAGAUCUCCAACACAAGGACUGAUGUAAUCCCCAUUUUUGGAAAAGCCUAGAGAGAAAUGCAGCCUUUGUCCAGUCUAACACUAUCAUUUGAUAGAAGAGAAAAAUGAGCCCCAGAGUGACUUGCCCACUAUCAGGAGAUAUGGCUAUGGUGGUUCACCUGACUCCAACCUCAACAGAUAUUGGCCUCUUUGGCCUUGAGGACUUCUGCUGGCUCAUCUGUCAAAGCACAAGGGCUGUCAGGACCAAUAAGCCAAGCUGGCCUCCACAAAGCAUAGAUGUAAGUUAUAGGUACUGCAAUGGUCUAUCUAUGACACAGUCGGCUCACAGAGUUGUCACUGCUGAUGGGUGACAGUCAAGGUGGAUUACAGGGACUGCCCUGGCCUCUCUGCCUGUGACACAGCUGACUCACAGAGAACGGUCAUUGCUGAUGGGUGACAGUGACACACCUCACCUAGAUAAGCAGGGCUUCCCUGACUUAUGUGAUCAGGCUUCCUAACAGAACCACUCACGUGUUGCCUUUGAGAGCAAACACACAGUAGUGAGGUGGAUGGCUGGUAUGGGGAUGCAGAAUGCCCUGAACCCAACUCCUGGACUUCUGCCAUGAUGUAAAGUGAUCAGUCAUUUCUUUAAGUUAAGAUUUGGCAGAAAGGAGGUGGAAGCAAAGCAGGGUACUGACAACCAAUGGUGAAACAGCUAGAGCCCUUUAUAUACCACACCUAAGUUGUCAUCCCUGGAGCUGGAGAGGGAGAAGCUGGUUUGGGCUGACUUUCUACUUUAAAUAGCUGCCCAUGUCUUUAACAUCUUAGAAGGGAUUCAUAAAGACUAGGCUUUUGUUUUGCUGCCACUCAACAGGAAAUUCUAUUUCUAAAGGUCUGAACUUCUUUCCACAACCUGAAUCUGCUUCUUUG
RNAcentral lists this long non-coding RNA (1404 nucleotides) under Canis lupus familiaris (dog). Its description in RNAcentral is "lncRNA (ENSCAFG00845009913.1)". Lineage: Eukaryota; Metazoa; Chordata; Mammalia; Carnivora; Canidae. The record is from RNAcentral.